This 522-nucleotide long non-coding RNA is filed under the name Capsella rubella. RNAcentral describes it as "long non-coding RNA (CRUB_LNC001211)". The record is from RNAcentral. Lineage: Eukaryota; Viridiplantae; Streptophyta; Magnoliopsida; Brassicales; Brassicaceae.
GUAGAAAUUCAUGUAUGUUGUAGAUUUUUUUGUUUUGUUUUGUUUUCACGUACUGUGUUUAUAUAUUUGUGUUUCAUAAUUUAUAAUGCUUGGCAAAUGCAAAUGAUACAUCAUCCGUAACCAUUGGUGGCCGUGGCACAUCCAAAGUUUGGAAUAUUUUUUUAUUUUUUUUAAGGUUAGAAUAUUUUACUUUUUUCCCGCAAUAAAACGAAUAUACUAUUCCGUGAAAGCAUAUUGGUUCGGUUAUAAGAAACAAAACAACCUUGAAUAAGCACAUUCAGUUUCACACCUAAUAUUACACUUGUGUUUGCUUGAAUAAGUACACAUUAUACACAAGUAAAAUGUAACCGAAGUCUCUCUCUAUAUAUAUAUAUAUGAAUCGGUAGAACAAGAAUCUUAUAUAAAUCAAAAAAAAAAAAAAAAAAAAAAAAAAAAAAAAAAAAGAAUCUUAUAUAAAUCUGUAGCUAGGUGUACUACUAACUAAUCUAAUACUCAAAAGGAAAAACCAAAAACAAAACAAAA